GAAAUGCGAUAAGUAAUGUGAAUUGCAGAAUUCAGUGAAUCAUCGAAUCUUUGAACGCACGUUGCGCCCGCCAGUAUUCUGGCGGGCAUGCCUGUUCGAGCGUCAUUUCAACCCUCAAGCUCAGCUUGGUGUUGGGGAUCGGCAGGGCGUCCUCCGGGUCGCGCCGUCCCCCAAAUAUAGUGGCGGUCUCGCUGUAGCUUCCUCUGCGUAGUAAUACACCUCGCACUGGAGUCUCGGCGCGGCCACGCCGUUAAACCCCCAACUUUUUCUGGUUGACCUCGAAUCAGGUAGGACUACCCGCUGAACUUAAGC
This 312-nucleotide unclassified non-coding RNA is filed under the name plant metagenome. RNAcentral's name for it is "partial contains 5.8S ribosomal RNA, internal transcribed spacer 2, and large subunit ribosomal RNA". The stretch from base 1 to 105 matches the Rfam family "5.8S ribosomal RNA", at positions 50 to 154 of the family's 154-position model. The record is from RNAcentral.